AUCAUUAUGCUUCAUCUCUUUCAACACCUGUCAUCUGCUUCCACUGUUGCAGCAAGAUUAAGAACCCAACCCCAGCUCAAGUAAGAAAUCUCCCUUUCCCUCUCAUUUUGCAAUGGUAAGUCUGCUUGAAAAACUGAACUUUUUUGUUUUUUCUGCUUCGUCGUUUACUUCUAGCUCUAACACUUCUUUUCUUCUUUUGCAGUUUUAGGUUUGUUCUUAUUAAUUCUAUUUUCUGUUUCUUUGUUCAUAAUUUCA
RNAcentral lists this long non-coding RNA (255 nucleotides) under Gossypium raimondii (Peruvian cotton). RNAcentral's name for it is "long non-coding RNA (GRAI_LNC003137)". Lineage: Eukaryota; Viridiplantae; Streptophyta; Magnoliopsida; Malvales; Malvaceae. The record is from RNAcentral.